CGUUCCUUCAGACCACCACAUGGUAGGUAGAACGGUGAAUAGCAUUCCGUAAUGUCUUCUUGCUCUCAUCCCGACAAGAAACCUAGGUCCUCGUGCAAACUGAUCACAUCUGCCACCCUAUGAGAAGUACCUGAAUAAUCAGCAAGACUUCACUCCCAGAUUAUGUUUGUCAUGCAGGAUGUUUAUGGCAUGCAUGUCUGACUGUAAUGCUAAUGGACUGAUUCUUGAUAAAGGUGCUUUUAGGCAAGCUUUUAAAGAAUUUCCAAAUAGAAGCUUGUAACAGCUGGAGAGAAUGGACCCACAGGAAAUCUACUGACAUUUGGCCAGGGCUGGUUGGAUUCUGUGCCAUGAAAAGACGGCCCCCCACUGGCGGAAUGCUGGCAUCAGAACUGAUGCGUAUUGCCCUGCGACUGGGAACCAAAACCCGAGCGAUUGGGAAAAUGUUGUUGUGCCCUAGGUUGAUUGCACUGUCUGUUCCAGAAUGGGCGGCUGGAGUGGGCGUCCUUUGCUCGUCCGGAUGUCCUGGAACCACGGAAGGACUGAGACGACAGUUGCUGCCAGAAGAUCGGCUAAAGCCGCAGACAAAAACCCAACUAAUAUAGCACAGAGAAACUAGUAGAACACUGCUGAGAGAAGGAAACAAAAUGAUUUUAUGGAAGUACAUAGCAGCAGUUAUCUUUUAAAUGUCUCCCAAUGAUAUUUGUUUCUUAAAAAGCCAGAAAGAAGCAUGCGGUAUUGAUUAAAUUCCCAAAUGAAGUUUUGACUUGAAGGAGGAGGGUCAGCAUUCAAAACAGGCAUGCAAUCCACAGAAAAGAAAAUUCUGUAAUUAACGUGAUGAGAAAAAAAAUGUAAUUAGUGGGUGUGGCUCUACUGAAGAGGAGUUCCAGCAUGUCUGAAGCUAAGCGCCCUUCAUUUCACCAAAAUGAAGACUCACUCAUUUCUGUAUGCCUUGGAGCAUGUUGCACAACUCUUGAGUCGGGGCAUGUUGUAUAUACUGGGCUGCAUAUUCAGAUAAACAUUCAAAAGAAACCUCAUUUUAGCUUAUUACUGUUAAAAAUAAGAAGUCACUUGCAUGUGCAAACCUGAUUCAUUUAGCUAGGUGCUUGCAUAGUCCAAUUUUACAAUACUGAAGAGAUGACAGUGCAUUUGUAUCACAAGAAAUCCUACUGUGUCUGCAAAUCCAGUGCAGAAAAAACAAUGUCAUGCAUAAUUGCCGC
This is a long non-coding RNA of Rhineura floridana, 1217 nucleotides long. RefSeq lists it as uncharacterized. NCBI's taxonomy places the organism in Eukaryota, Metazoa, Chordata, Lepidosauria, Squamata, Rhineuridae. The transcript has 3 exons. The record is from RefSeq and is a predicted model, not a curated record.